AUCUUUAACUGUUCUUUCUCUACUUCCUCCUCUGCUGUUUCAGGCCGCCUCAAAACCUCCGCCACCACUGAUCAUGGGUUCAGAUGUUAACGAUCACCACCAACAGCAACAGGAUACUAGCAUGAUGGUGUUUUCUGUCAAGUACUUAUUUCUGGUUUUUAAUCACAUUUUCGGAUGAGAAGGCCGACAGAUACUGAACAAGGGGGGAAUGACUAAUGACGCGACGCCAUGGGAGUGAAAGGAGAAGUAACCUCAUGCUUCAAUUCUGUUAAAAGACAAAGUUAUUUCUGUAUCUCCUUUGAAGAGUGUAUUGAAUCUGCAAUAAUUUACGAUCAGAACAUCACUUUGAGCACAAGGAGCUUUCCUUUAAACGCCCAUCUGAUUGGAAAUACGGCGUCAUUAUCAAUUGUACUACAAUUUUACUACAGGGAGGGGCAAGACAAAUAUACAUAAUACUCAAGCGUGUUGUCAAGAACAACCAUGAAAGUCCUUGUAGAUGUUGAUCAUGGGUGGUGAUAUUGUUGCUAGUUAUUCGAAGACUGAAAAACUCCCUACACCAGAGAUGAUUCAACAACCUUUACUAUUCACACCUCGUUAUGACCAAGAGUAAAAAAUCCUAAUCACGCAGCAGCAGCCAAUGUAUGAAAGACGGCCAAGGGUGGCCUCUUGGUGUACAAUCCUAGUGCAGCCAAGGUACAAAUGGCGCUUGUUCAGGAAUCAUUGAAAGAAGUUGACGAAAAGUCAGAAUCUGAGAUUACUGUUUCAGAACGAUUAUGGAUAAACUGUAUGCACUGUACUUUAGGUAUAAGUUAGCAGCAAAUCAAUGUGUUGAUGAUUCUGAUAAGGCUGUGUUCUUACUGUGUGGAGUGAUAAUGUGAAGCAAGAACUGGAAAGGCACAACUCUUUCGUCCAAAAACUGGGUUUAGACCCUGCAAAAGAGACCACUCUUCAAGGACUCAACAGUGCCCUUGUAGAGCUGCCAUCUUCUGAGAGACGAGCACGGUUUCAAGAAUAUUUGAUUCUGGUGGGUGUACUGAAGGGCAUAAGUUGAAAGGACACAAAGCAAGCUGGUGCAUUUAUCAAUGUAAUGCCAUGUUGGAGUGAGGAUCAAACUAGGUCAGCUCUUUGAGCGAAGACAGUUGCAAUACCAAUGCAGCCGUGUUCCAAAGGAGAUUAUAGUAGAAGUGUUGAGUUCUUUGGCGAGUGCAGUGGACAUAUGCAUCUUAUGCUGAUGCUCAAGGACGACUUUCCCCGUUUUGACAUUUGGGAGAUGCGAAUGGACUAUAUAUUCUGGAUGGAAUGUCAAGUAUUGGGUAGACCUUAGUCCCUUAACAACUGUAUAUCCGGGACUUCUACUAGAAAGAGCUCAAUUCUUCGGUCGUUUUGCGUUGGAUGUACUGCUUAUUGAGGAAGGCGAAGAUUCAUCAAGGUUAAUAUUAUGGAUAUUGGAGGACAAGGUGAUAUCCUUUGACCUUGAUAAUAAGAGUUUUAAGGAAAUGUAUGAUGUUAAUCCAGUUGCUCGUGUACAGGGAUUUCAACGUAUCGAAGCACUCUCUCGUGUUUGAAUAUUUCCUUCAAAGCAGCCAAAAGAAAGAAGAAGAAAGAAAUCCAGAGAUCUGAGGGUGAAGUAUGUCAGGAAGAGAAAAGGUGAUUAGGUAAAGGAGCAAGGAGACACAGGAACGUUUCGAGACAUAAGCUUUGUCAUUUGGUGGUUUUGUAAAGGAAAAGUUCCAAUUAAGGUUGGGAAUAUAUUUUCUUUUAGAUUUUUUAUGAAGUAAUUCGAAGCUGUCAUAAGCUGUCAUUUCCAGUUGCAGAAGGGAAACUGCAGAAUUUUGGUUAACAUUACAUUGUUUGGUGAAAUUGAUUUGAUCAGUUAACUUCGGUUUUCCUUCUGAAGUUCUUUGUUGAGUCAAAUUUUGUUCAUCAAAAUCUCUCUUGUUGCUGAAAUCAC
Molecule: long non-coding RNA, 1951 nt
Organism: Papaver somniferum (opium poppy)
Lineage: Eukaryota; Viridiplantae; Streptophyta; Magnoliopsida; Ranunculales; Papaveraceae
Exons: 8
Source: RefSeq, a predicted model, not a curated record